This 264-nucleotide ribosomal RNA is filed under the name uncultured bacterium. RNAcentral describes it as "partial 16S ribosomal RNA". It matches the Rfam family "Bacterial small subunit ribosomal RNA", at positions 793 to 1055 of the family's 1533-position model. The record is from RNAcentral.
GUCCGCACCAUAAACGAUGGAUACUUGCCGUUGGAGGUAUUGACCCCUUCAGUGGCGAAGCUAACGCGUUAAGUAUCCCGCCUGGGGAGUACGGUCGCAAGAUUAAAACUCAAAGAAAUUGACGGGGGCCCGCACAAGCGGUGGAGCAUGUGGUUUAAUUCGAUGCAACGCGAAGAACCUUACCUAGAUUUGACAUGUACUGGAAGACUGGCAGAAAUGUCGUCGCCCGCAAGGGCCGGUACACAGGUGCUGCAUGGCUGUCGU